Molecule: non-coding RNA, 182 nt
Organism: Callithrix jacchus (white-tufted-ear marmoset)
Lineage: Eukaryota; Metazoa; Chordata; Mammalia; Primates; Cebidae
Source: RefSeq, a predicted model, not a curated record
GCUGGUUGGCCUUCAUUUCUGCAGAAAGGACUUUCAAAUGUACUUUCGUGCUUAAGAACCAGCACUGUCCUGGUGAAAUUCCUCUUGAACAUGCUCCUGUUCUUCUGAGUCGGUGCUUCAGGCACAGAUGAGCUCAGCAGUUACUGUAAAAUAAAAUGAGCCUGCUAAAUAAGUCAAGACCG